UCUCAGAUGGUCCAGUGGUCAAGAUUUCCGCCUGUCAAUGUUUCAGUCUUUGUACUGUUGCGUGCUCGCGGACGACCGGGGUUCGAUUCCCCGUCUGAGAG
Orbilia blumenaviensis is the source of this 101-nucleotide non-coding RNA. Lineage: Eukaryota; Fungi; Ascomycota; Orbiliomycetes; Orbiliales; Orbiliaceae. The record is from the annotation of a GenBank genome assembly.